Marmota monax (woodchuck) is the source of this 2260-nucleotide long non-coding RNA. RefSeq lists it as uncharacterized. The record is from RefSeq and is a predicted model, not a curated record. The transcript is spliced from 3 exons. Lineage: Eukaryota; Metazoa; Chordata; Mammalia; Rodentia; Sciuridae.
GCCGCCGCCGCCGCGACCAAUGGGAAGCUGGCGCGCCUGCACCUGUCGGGGCGCGAGUCGCCAGGCAGUUGAACAAAAAAAAGAAACCUCUUUGGAGCAGAGAGGAUCGAAGAUAAUAGAUGUGACAGCACUUGAGGAAGUUAAAGGGAUUACACAAAGGUGGGAUGACCUCUGCACAAGGGAAACUCAGAGGCCAUCGUACAUGAAGCUUCUGAGGACAGCAGACCAGAGAACACACCCCACCCUGUGAAGAGGGAAUCAGAUCCAGAUCCCUCCAGGUGGCUGGGCAGGUGUCUGAAGCCCUGGGGCAUCAUCCAGCCCUGCCACAAGAAUGUCUCAAAGCUUCAGAAUCGCUUAUGAAGUAACAAGUGAGAGCACGUGGCUAUUCUGUUCUGUAAAUCUUGGCAUGUUUUCAAAAGCUUGAUGUAAAGACUGUAUUGCAGAAAACACUGUACCACCAACAACUUCCAAAUGGAAACUACUAAAGUGUACACAAUGGAAAAUGCACGUAGCAUCUCAAAUUAAGCCUUUCUAGUAUACUGCCUCUUCAUGCUUAAAGAGAUGUGCCGAGCUUGAUUUGAUGUGAUACCCAAUACAAUCAAAGUGGAAUUUUAGAAAUGCUAGUUAUCUCUGAGUCAAUGACAAAUUAAUACCAUUGUAAAUAUUCUUUAGGAUCCCUUCUUCACACACCAGAGAUAAUAAUGUUCUGAUUUUCACUUAAAUGAAAGAUUGAGCAAUAUUCCCUGAGGAACUGAUUGGUGGAUUCAAUGAAGCUGCUCUUCUCAAGAAAUCACAAAUUUUCCUUUUCUCUCUUCCUUGGGUGUUUUCUUUAAAGCAAGACUCUUCAUGCAUUUGUCACCCUAUGCAAUCAUCUAGUUAUGAGUUGGUUCCUUCAGGGUGCACGUAAUACGAGAGGAGUGUUAGAGUCUGUAAACAAGUCAAAAUAACACCUGGCAUUUUGCUAGGGGAAUGUUAGAGUUCGUAAACAAGUCUGGAUGGUGCCUGGCAAAAUGCCAGAGGGAGUGGUUUGAGAAGUAACAAAAGCGAGCCAUUAAGUGUGGAGAUUCCUUAUUGGUUGACUGAUGUAUCUAGUUUAUGCUAAUUAGAUAAGCUGUGUGGAAUGUAUAAAUACUGCUCCUGUCCAAUAAUAAACGGCUCCCACUCCUGCUGUAUCAACGUACACAAGUUGUUCGUCACCCCCGGUUAUUUUGCUGCAGCUGGACUGCGGCAGAGGAGGACAAUUAUGACUAUCAUUCAAAACCCAAGGAAGGACCCAUGAAUGAGCAGGAGGAUACCAAUUGUGUUGACAAACAUGGGACACUAGCAGAGGGAGCCACUCACCUAGUUGGCACUGCAUUCUGAAUUAAAACAAAACUCACUUCUGUUUUGAUUAGUGUAAUUUUUCAGGGAUGAUUUGCCAGGCCAAAGUGUUGAAUGGAUUGGAACUUAUGUCCCAUGGCAUCUCCAUUCUCUAACAUGAAGCACCUCUUAAUUUUAAUUGACUGUGGUCUCUUUCCAAUCUUAGACUCCUGCAAAUUUGCUUCUGAAAGUACCUGUUGGUAUAGUUUAGGUAUAAAAUGUCCCCCAAAGACCCAUGUGUUAAAAUCUUGGUCCCUAAGGUGGCACUAUUAGGAGGUAGUAGAACCUUUGAGAGGUGGGGCCUAAUGGGAGGUCUUUAGGUCAUUGGGGGGAGGGUGCCGUUCAAGAGGACUGUGGGACCUCAGCUGUGGGAAGCCAUUCUCGCGAGUGAUUUGAGUUACCUCCCUGGCUGAGAGAGGCGCUUAGACACAACUGUGUCAGAGUCUUCCCCACCCUGUCCCAGGUGCGAGGGCUUGUCCGUGUGGAGGUGUGCCUGGCCACUGACCCAAAGACCAAUCACUGACCCUGACCUUGGAAUGCUGCCCCUCCGUGUGGUGAGCCCCUUGGCCCUGGAACAAGGAAAUAGGUCAGGUUUCCUGUUCACUGUUUCGCUUGAGGAGGCGAGUGAGUCACUGAAGCAAGAACCAGCUUUGUGGGCUUCCUGUUCGGCCUACCUUCUCAGAAGAGCCUGGGACAGAUUGUACUUACUGAUAAGUCGGCCCAGCUGGGUCUCGCAUGAUCAGUCUGAGAAGCUGACCGAGUUUGCCUAAGGGCUAAGCCAAAAACCGCUUCCUGCUGCAGAAAACUGCGUGUGUGUGUGUGUGUGUGUGCUUUAGCUUGGGUUUGGGCGGAUAUAUAAGGGACAAGAGAUGAAUAAAGAGAGAGACUCCUGGAUGAAGAA